GACGAACGCUGGCGGCGUGCUUAACACAUGCAAGUCGAACGGAAAGGCCCUGCUUUUGUGGGGUGCUCGAGUGGCGAACGGGUUAGUAACACGUGAGUAACCUGCCCUUGACUUUGGGAUAACUUCAGGAAACUGGGGCUAAUACCGGAUCGGAGCUCCUGCUGCAUGGUGGGGGUUGGAAAGUUUCGGCGGUUGGGGAUGGACUCGCGGCUUAUCAGCUUGUUGGUGGGGUAGUGGCUUACCAAGGCUUUGACGGGUAGCCGGCCUGAGAGGGUGACCGGCCACAUUGGGACUGAGAUACGGCCCAGACUCCUACGGGAGGCAGCAGUGGGGAAUAUUGCACAAUGGGCGGAAGCCUGAUGCAGCAACGCCGCGUGCGGGAUGACGGCCUUCGGGUUGUAAACCGCUUUCGCCUGUGACGAAGCGUGAGUGACGGUAAUGGGUAAAGAAGCACCGGCUAACUACGUG
This 468-nucleotide ribosomal RNA is filed under the name uncultured bacterium. RNAcentral's name for it is "partial 16S ribosomal RNA". It matches the Rfam family "Bacterial small subunit ribosomal RNA", at positions 28 to 507 of the family's 1533-position model. The record is from RNAcentral.